GUGCCAGCCGCCGCGGUAAUACGGAGGAUGCAAGCGUUAUCCGGAUUCAUUGGGUUUAAAGGGUGCGCAGGCGGGCUUGUAAGUCAGUGGUGAAAUACUGCCGCUUAACGGUAGAAUUGCCAUUGAUACUGCAAGUCUUGAGUAUGGUUGAGGUAGGCGGAAUGUGCAGUGUAGCGGUGAAAUGCAUAGAGAUUGCACAGAACACCGAUUGCGGAGGCAGCUUACUAAGCCAUAACUUACUCUGAGGCACGAAAGCGUGGGGAGCGAACAGGAUUAGAAACCCGGGUAGUCC
This 292-nucleotide ribosomal RNA is filed under the name uncultured bacterium. RNAcentral describes it as "partial 16S ribosomal RNA". It matches the Rfam family "Bacterial small subunit ribosomal RNA", at positions 505 to 796 of the family's 1533-position model. The record is from RNAcentral.